UGUGUAUAAGAGACAGCAGCCGCGGUAAUACGGAGGGUGCAAGCGUUAAUCGGAAUUACUGGGCGUAAAGCGCACGCAGGCGGUCUGACAAGUCAGAUGUGAAAUCCCCGGGCUUAACCUGGGAACUGCAUUUGAAACUGUCAGGCUGGAGUCUUGUAGAGGGGGGUGGAAUUCCAGGUGUAGCGGUGAAAUGCGUAGAGAUCUGGAGGAAUACCGGUGGCGAAGGCGGCCCCCUGGACAAAGACUGACGCUCAGGUGCGAAAGCGUGGGGAGCAAACAGGAUUAGAUACCCCCGUAGUCCCUGUCUCUUAUACACU
RNAcentral lists this ribosomal RNA (317 nucleotides) under uncultured bacterium. Its description in RNAcentral is "partial 16S ribosomal RNA". It matches the Rfam family "Bacterial small subunit ribosomal RNA", at positions 496 to 810 of the family's 1533-position model. The record is from RNAcentral.